RNAcentral lists this ribosomal RNA (494 nucleotides) under uncultured bacterium. RNAcentral's name for it is "partial 16S ribosomal RNA". It matches the Rfam family "Bacterial small subunit ribosomal RNA", at positions 28 to 507 of the family's 1533-position model. The record is from RNAcentral.
GACGAACGCUGGCGGCGUGCUUAACACAUGCAAGUCGAACGGUGAAGCGCCUUCCUUUUUGGUGGGUGUGGAUGAGUGGCGAACGGGUGAGUAACACGUGAGUAACCUGCCCCCUUCUUCUGGAUAACCGCAUGAAAGUGUGGCUAAUACGGGAUAUUCUGGGUCUGUCGCAUGAUGGGUCUGGGAAAGAUAUUGUUUCGGUGGGUGAUGGGCUCGCGGCCUAUCAGCUUGUUGGUGGGGUGAUGGCCUACCAAGGCGGUGACGGGUAGCCGGCCUGAGAGGGUGGACGGUCACACUGGGACGGAGACACGGCCCAGACUCCUACGGGAGGCAGCAGUGGGGAAUAUUGCACAAUGGGCGCAAGCCUGAUGCAGCGACGCCGCGUGAGGGAUGGAGGCCUUCGGGUUGUGAACCUCUUUCGCCAGUGAAGCAGGCCUGCCUCGUUUGUGGGUGGGUUGACGGUAGCUGGAUAAGAAGCGCCGGCUAACUACGUG